AGAGUUUGAUCAUGGCUCAGGAUGAACGCUAGCUACAGGCUUAACACAUGCAAGUCGAGGGGAAACGAUAGAGAAAGCUUGCUUUUUCUAGGCGUCGACCGGCGCACGGGUGAGUAACGCGUAUCCAACCUGCCCACCACUUGGGGAUAACCUUGCGAAAGUAAGACUAAUACCCAAUGAUAUCUCUAGAAGACAUCUGAAAGGGAUUAAAGAUUUAUCGGUGAUGGAUGGGGAUGCGUCUGAUUAGCUUGUUGGCGGGGUAACGGCCCACCAAGGCGACGAUCAGUAGGGGUUCUGAGAGGAAGGUCCCCCACAUUGGAACUGAGACACGGUCCAAACUCCUACGGGAGGCAGCAGUGAGGAAUAUUGGUCAAUGGACGAGAGUCUGAACCAGCCAAGUAGCGUGCGGGAUGACGGCCCUAUGGGUUGUAAACUGCUUUUAUAAGGGAAUAAAGUGAGCCUCGUGAGGCUUUUUGCAUGUACCUUAUGAAUAAGGACCGGCUAAUUCCGUGCCAGCAGCCGCGGUAAUACGGAAGGUCCGGGCGUUAUCCGGAUUUAUUGGGUUUAAAGGGAGCGUAGGCCGGAGAUUAAGCGUGUUGUGGAAUGUAGAUGCUCAACAUCUGCACUGCAGCGCGAACUGGUUUCCUUGAGUACGCACAAAGUGGGCGGAAUUCGUGGUGUAGCGGUGAAAUGCUUAGAUAUCACGAAGAACUCCGAUUGCGAAGGCAGCUCACUGGAGCGCAACUGACGCUGAAGCUCGAAAGUGCGGGUAUCGAACAGGAUUAGAUACCCUGGUAGUCCGCACGGUAAACGAUGGAUGCCCGCUGUUGGUCUGAAUAGGUCAGCGGCCAAGCGAAAGCAUUAAGCAUCCCACCUGGGGA
RNAcentral lists this ribosomal RNA (881 nucleotides) under uncultured bacterium. RNAcentral's name for it is "bacterial SSU rRNA". It matches the Rfam family "Bacterial small subunit ribosomal RNA", at positions 8 to 879 of the family's 1533-position model. The record is from RNAcentral.